AGAGUUUGAUCCUGGCUCAGGAUGAACGCUGGCGGUAUGCUUAACACAUGCAAGUCGAACGGUGUCUUCGGACACAGUGGCGGACGGGUGAGUAACGCGUGAGAAUCUGGCUCUAGGUCUGGGACAACCACUGGAAACGGUGGCUAAUACCGGAUGUGCCGAGAGGUGAAAGGUUAACUGCCUAGAGAUGAGCUCGCGUCUGAUUAGCUAGUUGGAAGUGUAAUGGACUCCCAAGGCGACGAUCAGUAGCUGGUCUGAGAGGACGAUCAGCCACACUGGGACUGAGACACGGCCCAGACUCCUACGGGAGGCAGCAGUGGGGAAUUUUCCGCAAUGGGCGAAAGCCUGACGGAGCAAUACCGCGUGAGGGAGGAAGGCUCUUGGGUCGUAAACCUCUUUUCUCAGGGAAGAACAAAAUGACGGUACCUGAGGAAUAAGCAUCGGCUAACUCCGUGCCAGCAGCCGCGGUAAUACGGAGGAUGCAAGCGUUAUCCGGAAUGAUUGGGCGUAAAGCGUCCGCAGGUGGCAAUGUAAGUCUGCUGUUAAAGAGUCUAGCUCAACUAGAUAAAAGCAGUGGAAACUACAUAGCUAGAGUACGUUCGGGGCAGAGGGAAUUCCUGGUGUAGCGGUGAAAUGCGUAGAGAUCAGGAAGAACACCGGUGGCGAAGGCGCUCUGCUAGGCCGUAACUGACACUGAGGGACGAAAGCUAGGGGAGCGAAUGGGAUUAGAUACCCCAGUAGUCCUAGCCGUAAACGAUGGAUACUAGGCGUGGCUUGUAUCGACCCGAGCCGUGCCGUAGCUAACGCGUUAAGUAUCCCGCCUGGGGAGUACGCCGGCAACGGUGAAACUCAAAGGAAUUGACGGGGGCCCGCACAAGCGGUGGAGUAUGUGGUUUAAUUCGAUGCAACGCGAAGAACCUUACCAAGGCUUGACAUGUCGCGAAUCUUCUUGAAAGGGAAGAGUGCCUUCGGGAGCGCGAACACAGGUGGUGCAUGGCUGUCGUCAGCUCGUGUCGUGAGAUGUUGGGUUAAGUCCCGCAACGAGCGCAACCCUCGUUUUUAGUUGCCAGCAUUAAGUUGGGCACUCUAGAGAGACUGCCGGUGACAAACCGGAGGAAGGUGGGGAUGACGUCAAGUCAGCAUGCCCCUUACGCCUUGGGCUACACACGUACUACAAUGCUCCGGACAGAGGGCAGCAAGCAUGCGAAUGCAAGCAAAUCCCGUAAACCGGAGCUCAGUUCAGAUCGCAGGCUGCAACUCGCCUGCGUGAAGGAGGAAUCGCUAGUAAUUGCAGGUCAGCAUACUGCAGUGAAUUCGUUCCCGGGCCUUGUACACACCGCCCGUCACACCAUGGAAGCUGGUAGUGCCCGAAGUCAUUACUCCAACCAUUCGUGGAGGAGGAUGCCUAAGGCAGGACUGGUGACUGGGGUGAAGUCGUAACAAGGUAGCCGUACCGGAAGGUGUGGCUGGAUCACCUCCUU
RNAcentral lists this ribosomal RNA (1481 nucleotides) under Nostoc sp. KVJ1. RNAcentral describes it as "bacterial SSU rRNA". It matches the Rfam family "Bacterial small subunit ribosomal RNA". RNAcentral also lists the same sequence under 4 other names. The record is from RNAcentral. Lineage: Bacteria; Bacillati; Cyanobacteriota; Cyanophyceae; Nostocales; Nostocaceae.